GACGAACGCUGGCGGCGUGCCUAAUACAUGCAAGUUGAGCGCUGAAGGUUGGUACUUGUCCCAACUGGAUGAGCAGCGAACGGGUGAGUAACGCGUGGGGAAUCUGCCUUUGAGCGGGGGACAACAUUUGGAAACGAAUGCUAAUACCGCAUAAAAACUUUAAACACAAGUUUUAAGUUUGAAAGAUGCAAUUGCAUCACUCAAAGAUGAUCCCGCGUUGUAUUAGCUAGUUGGUGAGGUAAAGGCUCACCAAGGCGAUGAUACAUAGCCGACCUGAGAGGGGGAUCGGCCACAUUGGGACUGAGACACGGCCCAAACUCCUACGGGAGGCAGCAGUAGGGAAUCUUCGGCAAUGGACGAAAGUCUGACCGAGCAACGCCGCGUGAGUGAAGAAGGUUUUCGGAUCGUAAAACUCUGUUGGUAGAGAAGAACGUUGGUGAGAGUGGAAAGCUCAUCAAGUGACGGUAACUACCCAGAAAGGGACGGCUAACUACGUG
RNAcentral lists this ribosomal RNA (497 nucleotides) under uncultured bacterium. RNAcentral describes it as "partial 16S ribosomal RNA". It matches the Rfam family "Bacterial small subunit ribosomal RNA", at positions 28 to 507 of the family's 1533-position model. The record is from RNAcentral.